CUACCCGUCGCAUGCCACCUACGCUGUGCGAUCUACAUCAUCAGAGACAGCAAUGCGACCCGGACGAAACCUGUAGCAGAAAUAUCAGUUCACGUGUGCUCCUGUGCGUGAGUGCGUCUCUGUGCGACUCCUCAUCCACCCUCCACCCUCAAAACACACGCACACGCACGGACGCACGCACUCCCUUGGUGGGCUUAAGUAGCUUAGGCACUUGGUAGUUAUACUAGAAGCACUAGCACUCCUCCCUCAUUCCCUUUUCUCUCGGUGGCUUGUCCGUGCCAGUCUUCACCACCGCAUAGCAGCCGAAGGCUCAUUUUAGCGUUCGCGGCACUUCUCUGCCGCCGCGAGCUCACUCUCUCUCACGUUUGCGUGUGUCUGCGUGCCCUCGCACGCGAAUGCGUGGUGAGCGGCCGGCUUCUCUUUUUUUUUUUACCUCAUCUCUCUGCUGUUCCUUCUCUGACUUGCGCAGCCGCCUCCGUGAGUCGCCACACGUGUCUAGUCGUUGUCAGGCAAACGACCAUCCCCCCUCCCCCUCCCCUCCGUUUUCUGCGUAGUUCGGGUCGAGGGACGCGCGGUCCGCAGUCAUGCUUCGCUUACCUUGCUUCGCCACUCGCGCGGCCGCGGCCCCAGCCGUAUGCCCGAGCGUUAUGGCGGUGUCCGCCGCUAAGCGACAGUACCGCAUUAUCCCGCACCUCUACAAUGAAAUUGAAGAACUCGCGGAGACGCAGCGGCGCGGUCGCUGGUCGAUCUCGCACCGCAACUGCCUGCAGCAGCCGCUGAAGAAGGCGGAGAUCAUGUGCGACAAGCUGAACCUGCGCGAAGGCCGUCGCAGCGGCGUGCUGCCGGAGAAGUCCAUCGCGCGCCGGCUGAGCCAGAAAUACGCUGUGGACGGCAAGGUACACGAAAGCGAGUCGAAGACAAGGCUCAUCAGCAUCACCGUCGUCAACUUCGACGGCCACCCGUUCCACUUCCGCACGUACCCGAUGCCGGAUGUCACACUCAACACCCUCAUCGACGGCUCAGGCAUGUGCCACGGCCACGCCACACACUGGGGCAAGUGCAACAACCCCGACUGCUCCGACUGGAACCACGGCGAUGGGUGCAUGGUGAACGUGGACAUCGAGACGUUAGACCGGCUCCUGCCCCCAAAUCGGUGGGAGUACACGUCACUGACAGCGUGGCGCGCGACGGACCGGCCGGACAUCACCUUUAACACCCGCUUCAGCUGCCAGAUCCCGAUCACGGAGGAGCUGGACGGCGCUGUGUUUGCGCUGAAGCAGCUGUGGACGCGUGCCCUGCGUGAGUCUGUCUCCGACUGGGGUCUGGUGGACGACCAAGCGACGAUCCACGGUGCUCGCAGCAAGAGGAUCGAGCCGUGGGCGCCGAUCAUCGAGGAGCCGACAAAGGUGGACUUCCCCAUCACGUGGGACAUGCUCUGGGCGACCGGCUACCAAGACAUCAUGAAGGAGAAGUACUCGAACUUUCGUCGAAAGGACGGCUUUCACACGAAGCCGGAGAUGUGGGCCGCAUACGUGUGAACCCCCCUCUUUCCAUCUCUCCAUAUACCGACAAUGCACGUGCGAGCUGUAACCACGCCGUGCCUUUCCGUCUUGCUUUCUUGCUGAGCGGGUGCCUCGCUCUGAGAAUGUGAGCAGUGCGGGGGCGGUGGCGGGAGGGGGGAGGGGCAUAAUGUGGGCCCCUCCCCUCUCUCCUUGAUGUGCAUCCUCAGCUUGCUCUUUCUUCUUGUGCGCGCUCUAGCGACGAAGCUCUUAUUUCACUGCCGCUCAUAGCGAUGUGCGCGGUCCUGGUGCGUUCACGCUCACUCGCCGUGCUGAGCUUCCAGUCGACCUACACGAUGCUGACCCUCCUCUCCCCCCUGUGUGCAUGUGCGCACGUCGCUCUCUCUCUCUCUGCCCCCCUUUUUUUUCGCUCUCUGGUCUGUUCACCGCUCGCGUAGGCCUGCUGAACAGUCGUCACCAGUGGCGCACGAGAAAGCGAAGGGCCUUUGCUGUUGCCGUGCAACGAGCGAUGAAAGCCGUGACGAGUUGUGGUCGGCGGUGAAAGUGGAGGGGAGGGGAGGGUGGAAAAGGCUGGCAGCGGUGGCGGCACGGCGCUCGUGCGAGCCCAUCGGACCCGCUCUACCAGCUUCGCGCCGGAGGCUCCGUGCGUAGGAGCGGCACACGCAUCUUUCGUUACUGUACGCCCUGACUGCGCCAUCUCUCAUCAUGCAGAUGCUCCUGCUGUUUCCGUCGCUGGCGCCGUGACGGUGCUGAUCUUUGCUUCACUCUCCUUCUCCUUUCCAUCUGUCCUGUGCCACCGUCACCCCAUCACACCACCCGCACGCAG
This 2346-nucleotide unclassified non-coding RNA is filed under the name Leishmania donovani. Its description in RNAcentral is "gene:LdHU3.17.1890(CDS-product:hypothetical_prote in_conserved)". The record is from RNAcentral. Lineage: Eukaryota; Euglenozoa; Kinetoplastea; Trypanosomatida; Trypanosomatidae.